This 432-nucleotide ribosomal RNA is filed under the name uncultured bacterium. RNAcentral's name for it is "partial 16S ribosomal RNA". It matches the Rfam family "Bacterial small subunit ribosomal RNA", at positions 29 to 507 of the family's 1533-position model. The record is from RNAcentral.
AACGAACGCUGGCGGCAUGCCUAACACAUGCAAGUCGAACGAGACCUUCGGGUCUAGUGGCGCACGGGUGCGUAACGCGUGGGAACCUGCCCUUAGGUUCGGAAUAACUCCCCGAAAGGGGUGCUAAUACCGGAUAAUGUCUUCGGACCAAAGAUUUAUCGCCUUUGGAUGGGCCCGCGUUGGAUUAGCUAGUUGGUAGGGUAAAAGCCUACCAAGGCGACGAUCCAUAGCUGGUCUGAGAGGAUGAUCAGCCACACUGGGACUGAGACACGGCCCAGACUCCUACGGGAGGCAGCAGUGGGGAAUAUGGGACAAUGGGCGAAAGCCUGAUCCAGCAAUGCCGCGUGAGUGAUGAAGGCCUUAGGGUUGUAAAGCUCUUUUACCCGGGAUGAUAUGACAGUACCGGGAGAAUAAGCUCCGGCUAACUCCGUG